AGCUCAGUAGCUCAGUUGGUAGAGCAUGGUGUUUGCAACGCCAGGGUUGUGGGUUCGAUUCCCACGGGGGCCG
Molecule: non-coding RNA, 73 nt
Organism: Salmo salar (Atlantic salmon)
Lineage: Eukaryota; Metazoa; Chordata; Actinopteri; Salmoniformes; Salmonidae
Source: Rfam